This 404-nucleotide ribosomal RNA is filed under the name Bacillota bacterium. RNAcentral's name for it is "Firmicutes bacterium partial 16S ribosomal RNA". It matches the Rfam family "Bacterial small subunit ribosomal RNA", at positions 355 to 776 of the family's 1533-position model. The record is from RNAcentral. Lineage: Bacteria; Bacillati; Bacillota.
UGGGGAAUAUUGGACAAUGGGCGCAAGCCUGAUCCAGCCAUGCCGCGUGAGUGAUGAAGGCCCUAGGGUUGUAAAGCUCUUUCACCGGUGAAGAUAAUGACGGUAACCGGAGAAGAAGCCCCGGCUAACUUCGUGCCAGCAGCCGCGGUAAUACGAAGGGGGCUAGCGUUGUUCGGAAUUACUGGGCGUAAAGCGCACGUAGGCGGACAUUUAAGUCAGGGGUGAAAUCCCAGAGCUCAACUCUGGAACUGCCUUUGAUACUGGGUGUCUUGAGUAUGGAAGAGGUAAGUGGAAUUCCGAGUGUAGAGGUGAAAUUCGUAGAUAUACGGAGGAACUCCAGUGGCGAAGGCGGCUUGCUGGUCCAUUACUGGCGCUGAGGUGCGAAAGCGUGGGGAGCAAACAGG